ACUGCAAUUAAAACUGCUCGACUAGAGUUUGAUAGAGGAAAGCGGAAUACAUAGUGUAGAGGCGAAAUUCGUAGAUACUAUGUAGAACACCAGUUGCGAAGGCGGCUUUCUGGAUCAACACUGACGCUGAGGCGCGAAAGUAUGGGUAGCAAAGAGGAUUAGAUACCCUCGUAGUCCAUACCAUAAACGAUGAUUGCUAGAUGUUGGAAAUUUAUUUUCAGUAUCGCAGCUAACGCAUUAAGCAAUCCGCCUGGGGAGUACGACCGCAAGGUUAAAACUCAAAUGAAUUGACGGGGACCCGCACAAGCGGUGGAGCAUGUGGUUUAAUUCGAAGAUACGCGCAGAACCUUACCAACCCUUGACAUGUCUGUCGCGAGUUUAGGAAACUAGACUUUUCGGUUCGGCCGGACAGAACACAGGUGCUGCAUGGCUGUCGUCAGCUCGUGUCGUGAGAUGUUGGGUUAAGUCCCGCAACGAGCGCAACCCCUACUUUUAGUUGCCAUCAGGUCAUGCUGGGCACUCUGAAAGAACUGCCAGUGAUAAGCUGGAGGAAGGUGGGGAUGACGUCAAGUCCUCAUGGCCCUUACGGGUUGGGCUACACACGUGCUACAAUGGUAGUGACAAUGAGAUGCAAGGUGGCGACGCUAAGCUAAACUCAAAAAUCUACCUCAGUUCGGAUUGCACUCUGCAACUCGAGUGCAUGAAGCUGGAAUCGCUAGUAAUCGUAGAUCAGCGUGCUACGGUGAAUACGUUCCCGGGUCUUGUACACACCGCCCGUCACACCAUGGAAGUUGGUUCUACCUUAAAGCAGAUUGCUAACCGCAAGGAGGCGUUUGACCAAGGUAUAGUCAGCGACUGGGGUG
RNAcentral lists this ribosomal RNA (863 nucleotides) under uncultured bacterium. RNAcentral describes it as "bacterial SSU rRNA". It matches the Rfam family "Bacterial small subunit ribosomal RNA", at positions 620 to 1482 of the family's 1533-position model. The record is from RNAcentral.